Molecule: ribosomal RNA, 549 nt
Filed under: uncultured bacterium
Lineage: Bacteria
Description: bacterial SSU rRNA
Rfam family: Bacterial small subunit ribosomal RNA
Source: RNAcentral
UGGGGAAUUUUGGACAAUGGGCGCAAGCCUGAUCCAGCCAUGCCGCGUGUCUGAAGAAGGCCUUCGGGUUGUAAAGGACUUUUGUCAGGGAAGAAAAGGCUGUUGCUAAUAUCAGCGGCUGAUGACGGUACCUGAAGAAUAAGCACCGGCUAACUACGUGCCAGCAGCCGCGGUAAUACGUAGGGUGCAAGCGUUAAUCGGAAUUACUGGGCGUAAAGCGAGCGCAGACGGUUACUUAAGCAGGAUGUGAAAUCCUCGGGCUCAACCUGGGAACUGCGUUCUGAACUGGGUGACUAGAGUGUGUCAGAGGGAGGUAGAAUUCCACGUGUAGCAGUGAAAUGCGUAGAGAUGUGGAGGAAUACCGAUGGCGAAGGCAGCCUCCUGGGAUAACACUGACGUUCAUGCUCGAAAGCGUGGGUAGCAAACAGGAUUAGAUACCCUGGUAGUCCACGCCCUAAACGAUGUCAAUUAGCUGUUGGGCAACUUGAUUGUUCAGUANCGUAGCUNACGCGUGAAAUUGACCGCCUGGGGAGUACGGUCGCAAGANUA